GGCGAGUGAGCGGCAAAAGCUCAAAUUUGAAAUCUGGUACCUUCGGUGCCCGAGUUGUAAUUUGGAGAGGGCAACUUUGGGGCCGUUCCUUGUCUAUGUUCCUUGGAACAGGACGUCAUAGAGGGUGAGAAUCCCGUGUGGCGAGGAGUGCGGUUCUUUGUAAAGUGCCUUCGAAGAGUCGAGUUGUUUGGGAAUGCAGCUCUAAGUGGGUGGUAAAUUCCAUCUAAAGCUAAAUAUUGGCGAGAGACCGAUAGCGAACAAGUACAGUGAUGGAAAGAUGAAAAGAACUUUGAAAAGAGAGUGAAAAAGUACGUGAAAUUGUUGAAAGGGAAGGGCAUUUGAUCAGACAUGGUGUUUUGUGCCCUCUGCUCCUUGUGGGUAGGGGAAUCUCGCAUUUCACUGGGCCAGCAUCAGUUUUGGUGGCAGGAUAAAUCCAUAGGAAUGUAGCUUGCCUCGGUAAGUAUUAUAGCCUGUGGGAAUACUGCCAGCUGGGACUGAGGACUGCGACGUAAGUCAAGGAUGCUGGCAUAAUGGUUAUAUGCCGCCCGUCUUGA
RNAcentral lists this ribosomal RNA (554 nucleotides) under Saccharomyces cerevisiae (brewer's yeast). RNAcentral's name for it is "partial large subunit ribosomal RNA". It matches the Rfam family "Eukaryotic large subunit ribosomal RNA", at positions 88 to 657 of the family's 3401-position model. The record is from RNAcentral. Lineage: Eukaryota; Fungi; Ascomycota; Saccharomycetes; Saccharomycetales; Saccharomycetaceae.